Molecule: long non-coding RNA, 144 nt
Organism: Etheostoma spectabile (orangethroat darter)
Lineage: Eukaryota; Metazoa; Chordata; Actinopteri; Perciformes; Percidae
Exons: 3
Source: RefSeq, a predicted model, not a curated record
UUAGUAUUCUCAUAAAUUUUAAUAAUAAUAAUAAUAAUAAUAAUAAAUUUAAUUUGUAAUGCACUUUAUAUUUGCGCAAAUCCCAAAGUGCUACAUGAUAAAACAGCUAAGUGCUAAAAUAAAAACACAUGGAGAGCAUGAUAA